UGCAUGAAGUUGGAAUUGCUAGUAAUCGCGGAUCAGCAUGCCGCGGUGAAUACGUUCCCGGGGAUUGUACACACCGCCCGUCACACCAUGAGAGUCGGGAACACCCAAAGUCCGUAGUCUAACCGCAAGGAGGACGCGGCCUAAGGUGGGUUCGAUAAUUGGGGUGAAGUCGUAACAAGGUAGC
RNAcentral lists this ribosomal RNA (184 nucleotides) under uncultured bacterium. RNAcentral describes it as "partial 16S ribosomal RNA". It matches the Rfam family "Bacterial small subunit ribosomal RNA", at positions 1317 to 1500 of the family's 1533-position model. The record is from RNAcentral.